AGAGUUUGAUCCUGGCUCAGAAUCAACGCUGGCGGCGUGCCUAACACAUGCAAGCCGAACGAGAAAGUGGAGCAAUCCAUGAGUAAAGUGGCGCACGGGUGAGUAACACGUGACUAACCUACCCUUGAGUGGGGGAUAACCUAGGGAAACCUGGGCUAAUACCGCAUAAUACCUACGGGUCAAAGGAGCAAUUCGCUUUAGGAGGGGGUCGCGGCCGAUUAGUUAGUUGGCGGGGUAAUGGCCCACCAAGACUGUGAUCGGUAUCCGGCCUGAGAGGGCGCACGGACACACUGGAACUGAAACACGGUCCAGACUCCUACGGGAGGCAGCAGUGGGGAAUUUUGCGCAAUGGGGGAAACCCUGACGCAGCAACGCCGCGUGGAGGAUGAAGUCCUUCGGGACGUAAACUCCUUUCGAUCGGGACGAUUAUGACGGUACCGGAAGAAGAAGCCCCGGCUAACUUCGUGCCAGCAGCCGCGGUAAUACGAGGGGGGCGAGCGUUGUUCGGAAUUAUUGGGCGUAAAGGGUGCGUAGGCGGUUUGGUAAGUCUGAUGUGAAAUCUAUGGGCUCAACUCAUAGUCUGCAUCGGAAACUGCCGGGCUUGAGUGUGGGAGAGGUGAGUGGAAUUUCCGGUGUAGCGGUGAAAUGCGUAGAUAUCGGAAGGAACACCUGUGGCGAAAGCGGCUCACUGGACCACAACUGACGCUGAUGCACGAAAGCUAGGGGAGCAAACAGGAUUAGAUACCCUAGUAGUCC
This 756-nucleotide ribosomal RNA is filed under the name uncultured bacterium. Its description in RNAcentral is "bacterial SSU rRNA". It matches the Rfam family "Bacterial small subunit ribosomal RNA", at positions 8 to 796 of the family's 1533-position model. The record is from RNAcentral.